UACGAAGGGGGCUAGCGUUGCUCGGAAUCACUGGGCGUAAAGCGCACGUAGGCGGAUUCCUAAGUCGGUGGUGAAAUCCUGGAGCUCAACUCCAGAACUGCCUUCGAUACUGGGAAUCUUGAGUCCGGAAGAGGUGAGUGGAACUGCGAGUGUAGAGGUGAAAUUCGUAGACAUUCGCAAGAACACCAGUGGCGAAGGCGGCUCACUGGUCCGGUACUGACGCUGAGGUGCGAAAGCGUGGGGAGCAAACAGG
Molecule: ribosomal RNA, 253 nt
Filed under: uncultured bacterium
Lineage: Bacteria
Description: partial 16S ribosomal RNA
Rfam family: Bacterial small subunit ribosomal RNA
Source: RNAcentral